UUAACGUUGCAGACUGGGUACUCAUGUGGGCAGCAGCUAUAAUGGUCAUCACAGCAGGUGGCACCCUCGAGUGGGCAGCAUCCCCAUGCAAAGCAAUACUUUCCAUACUCAAAGAUGCAGCAGCAAGUACUGCUAUCAGGGCAGGAAAAGUAAUUAUCACACACGGAAGGAGGUUUUACUGGAGAUGGAGGCGAUGGACCAGGAUUGGGGGGAUUUUGGCCUUUCUUGAUAGGGUAAGAGGGUUCUAUUGCAAUUCCACAUUUUCCUGUUGGACUAGCAAUGUUUCUCUCCAUUCUGAUAUAGCCGCUCUCUCCCCAGCUCUUGCCCCAUGAGUUCCUCACAAUCCAGUAAUCUUUACCCUUUUCAGUUCCGUAACCCACGGCAGCAACACCAUGGUCCAGACUUGUCCCACAUUCUCCA
This 420-nucleotide long non-coding RNA is filed under the name Populus trichocarpa (black cottonwood). RNAcentral's name for it is "long non-coding RNA (PTRI_LNC003201)". Lineage: Eukaryota; Viridiplantae; Streptophyta; Magnoliopsida; Malpighiales; Salicaceae. The record is from RNAcentral.